RNAcentral lists this ribosomal RNA (254 nucleotides) under Pseudonocardia khuvsgulensis. RNAcentral describes it as "partial 16S ribosomal RNA". It matches the Rfam family "Bacterial small subunit ribosomal RNA", at positions 524 to 776 of the family's 1533-position model. RNAcentral also lists the same sequence under 2 other names. The record is from RNAcentral. Lineage: Bacteria; Bacillati; Actinomycetota; Actinomycetes; Pseudonocardiales; Pseudonocardiaceae.
UACGUAGGGUGCGAGCGUUGUCCGGAAUUAUUGGGCGUAAAGAGCUCGUAGGCGGUGUGUCACGUCGAUCGUGAAAACUUUCAGCUUAACUGGGAGCUUGCGGUCGAUACGGGCAUCACUGGAGUUCGGCAGGGGAGACUGGAAUUCAAGGUGUAGCGGUGAAAUGCGCAGAUAUCUUGAGGAACACCGGUGGCGAAGGCGGGUCUCUGGGCCGAUACUGACGCUGAGGAGCGAAAGCGUGGGGAGCGAACAGG